GAAAAACUCCGGUGGUAUGAGAUGGACCCGCGUCUGAUUAGCCAGUUGGCAGGGUAACGGCCUACCAAAGCGACGAUCAGUAGCCGACCUGAGAGGGUGACCGGCCACAUUGGGACUGAGACACGGCCCAAACUCCUACGGGAGGCAGCAGUGGGGAAUAUUGCACAAUGGGGGAAACCCUGAUGCAGCGACGCCGCGUGAGCGAAGAAGUAUUUCGGUAUGUAAAGCUCUAUCAGCAGGGAAGAAGAAUGACGGUACCUGACUAAGAAGCACCGGCUAAAUACGUGCCAGCAGCCGCGGUAAUACGUAUGGUGCAAGCGUUAUCCGGAUUUACUGGGUGUAAAGGGAGCGCAGGCGGUGCGGCAAGUCUGAUGUGAAAGCCCGGGGCUCAACCCCGGUACUGCAUUGGAAACUGUCGUACUAGAGUGUCGGAGGGGUAAGUGGAAUUCCUAGUGUAGCGGUGAAAUGCGUAGAUAUUAGGAGGAACACCAGUGGCGAAGGCGGCUUACUGGACGAUAACUGACGCUGAGGCUCGAAAGCGUGGGGAGCAAACAGGAUUAGAUACCCUGGUAGUCCACGCCGUAAACGAUGUAUACUAGGUGUCGGGGAGCAUUGCUCUUCGGUGCC
This 627-nucleotide ribosomal RNA is filed under the name uncultured bacterium. RNAcentral describes it as "bacterial SSU rRNA". It matches the Rfam family "Bacterial small subunit ribosomal RNA", at positions 201 to 847 of the family's 1533-position model. The record is from RNAcentral.